Gadus chalcogrammus (walleye pollock) is the source of this 73-nucleotide non-coding RNA. The record is from the annotation of a RefSeq genome assembly. Lineage: Eukaryota; Metazoa; Chordata; Actinopteri; Gadiformes; Gadidae.
GUCAGGAUGGCCGAGCGGUCUAAGGCGCCAGACUCAAGAACUGGAGGCGUGGGUUCAAAUCCCACUUCUGACA